Non-coding RNA from Schistosoma rodhaini, 45 nucleotides. NCBI's taxonomy places the organism in Eukaryota, Metazoa, Platyhelminthes, Trematoda, Strigeidida, Schistosomatidae. The record is from Rfam.
AUCCAACUGACGAGUCCAGAAUAGAACGAAACGCGCUUCCUGGAU